UUUGAAAUCCGGCCCCCGGGGCCCGAGUUGUAAUUUGCAGAGGAUGCUUCGGGCGAGGCGCCUUCCGAGUUCCCUGGAACGGGACGCCGCAGAGGGUGAGAGCCCCGUCUGGUCGGACGCCGAGCCCGCGUGAAGCUCCUUCGACGAGUCGAGUAGUUUGGGAAUGCUGCUCAAAACGGGAGGUAUAUGUCUUCUAAAGCUAAAUACCGGCCAGAGACCGAUAGCGCACAAGUAGAGUGAUCGAAAGAUGAAAAGCACUUUGAAAAGAGGGUUAAAAAGUACGUGAAAUUGUUGAAAGGGAAGCGCCCGCGACCAGACUUGGGCCCGGCGGAUCACCCGGCGUUCUCGCCGGCGCACUCCGCCGGGCACAGGCCAGCAUCGGUCCGGCGCGGGGGACAAAGGCUCUGGGAACGUGGCUCCCCCGGGAGUGUUAUAGCCCACCGCGCAAUGCCCUGCGCCGGACCGAGGAACGCGCACCGCAAGGAUGCUGGCGUAAUGGUCGUCGGCGACCCGUCUUGAAACACGGACCAAGGAGUCGUCUUCGUAUGCGAGUGUUCGGGUGUCAAACCCCUACGCGGAAUGAAAGUGAACGCAGGUGAGAGCCUCGGCGCAUCAUCGACCGAUCCUGAUGUCCUCGGAUGGAUUUGAGUAGGAGCAUACGGGGCCGGACCCGAAAGAAGGUGAACUAUGCCUGCGUAGGGUGAAGCCAGAGGAAACUCUGGUGGAGGCUCGCAGCGGUUCUGACGUGCGAAUCGAUCGUCAAACGUGGGCAUGGGGGCGAAAGACUAAUCGAACCUUCUAGUAGCUGGUUUC
Molecule: ribosomal RNA, 813 nt
Filed under: Hevansia novoguineensis
Lineage: Eukaryota; Fungi; Ascomycota; Sordariomycetes; Hypocreales; Cordycipitaceae
Description: partial large subunit ribosomal RNA
Rfam family: Eukaryotic large subunit ribosomal RNA
Source: RNAcentral